GAUGAAGAACGUAGCGAAAUGCGAUAAGUAAUGUGAAUUGCAGAAUUCAGUGAAUCAUCGAAUCUUUGAACGCACCUUGCGCUCCUUGGUAUUCCGAGGAGCAUGCCUGUUUGAGUGUCAUUAAAUUCUCAACCAUUAUCAACUUUUGCUGAUAAUGGCUUGGAUGUGGGGGUCUAUUUUGCUGGCUUCUCAGAUAGUCAGCUCCCCUUAAAUGCAUUAGCCGGUGCCCCGCGUGGACUGUCUAUUGGUGUGAUAAUUAUCUACGCUAUAGACAUCUGCAAUCAUAUGGGUUUGCGCUGCUUCUAACAGUCUGUUGAUUCAGACAAUACAUGACAAUUUGACCUCAAAUCAGGUAGGACUUCCCGCUGAACUUAAGCAUAUCAAUAAGCGGAGGA
Molecule: unclassified non-coding RNA, 395 nt
Filed under: soil metagenome
Description: partial contains 5.8S ribosomal RNA, internal transcribed spacer 2, and large subunit ribosomal RNA
Rfam family: 5.8S ribosomal RNA (bases 1-120)
Source: RNAcentral